RNAcentral lists this transfer RNA (73 nucleotides) under Trachymyrmex septentrionalis. It matches the Rfam family "tRNA". From Rfam's summary of the family: Transfer RNA (tRNA) molecules are approximately 80 nucleotides in length. Their secondary structure includes four short double-helical elements and three loops (D, anti-codon, and T loops). Further hydrogen bonds mediate the characteristic L-shaped molecular structure. tRNAs have two regions of fundamental functional importance: the anti-codon, which is responsible for specific mRNA codon recognition, and the 3' end, to which the tRNAs corresponding amino acid is attached (by aminoacyl-tRNA synthetases). tRNAs cope with the degeneracy of the genetic code in two manners: having more than one tRNA (with a specific anti-codon) for a particular amino acid; and 'wobble' base-pairing, i.e. permitting non-standard base-pairing at the 3rd anti-codon position. The record is from Rfam by way of RNAcentral. Lineage: Eukaryota; Metazoa; Arthropoda; Insecta; Hymenoptera; Formicidae.
AUUAUAGUAGUCUAAAGGCUUAGGACGCUUGCACGGAAUGCAAGAGAUACGGGUUCGACUCCCGGCUGAGGCA